RNAcentral lists this ribosomal RNA (274 nucleotides) under uncultured bacterium. Its description in RNAcentral is "partial 16S ribosomal RNA". It matches the Rfam family "Bacterial small subunit ribosomal RNA", at positions 523 to 796 of the family's 1533-position model. The record is from RNAcentral.
AUACGGAGGGGGCUAGCGUUGUACGGAAUUACUGGGCGUAAAGCGCGUGUAGGCGGAUCGUUAAGUCAGGGGUGAAAGCCCGGGGCUCAACCCCGGAACUGCCCUUGAUACUGGCGAUCUAGAGUCCGGAAGAGGUGGGCGGAAUUCCCGGUGUAGAGGUGAAAUUCGUAGAUAUCGGGAGGACCACCAGUGGCGAAGGCGGCUCACUGGUCCGGCACUGACGCUGAGACGCGAAAGCGUGGGGAGCAAACAGGAUUAGAAACCCUAGUAGUCC